AAAACUCCGAUGGUGGAUCAGGUAAUUCAGUUGCUCUUCUGUUUUGUCUGGGAAAAUUCAAUAAUCAAUUCCUCUCUCUUUUCUGUCUUUUGCAUAAUCUGGGUUGCAGAUGCUCAGCAACAAAACCUUUCUGGAAGGGGUGAUAAAUCGAGCUCCACUUCGCCGUGUGGGAGAUCCGAAGGAGGUGUCAUCUUUGGUGGCAUUCCUCUGUCUACCAGCAUCAUCUUACAUUACUGGACAGACUAUUUGUGUCGAUGGUGGCGUGACUGUUAAUGGUUUUGAGCCAAACCUGUUAUAGGAACAUCAUUAAGACUCAAAAAUCUUAGCUUCCUCUACCGCUUUCCUGUUUGGAUCCUGUCUUUUUCCUGAAUAAUCUGUUUGUGAUGGUAAGUACUCUUCUGUUUUUUCGGUGUGGGGUUCAUCUGAAAACAUUGUUGCAUGAUGCUUAUAAUAAUCGUUGGAAAGUUUGUAAGAAGUUACUUAUCAUUGGAUGAGAUUCUUGUGAUGAGUGUUUCCUAUAAUCAGAUUUAUCUUGUUAUAAGGUUGUUGUUGUAGUAGUAACUGCAAUUCAAAGGAAAUUAAUUUAGUAUAAUACUGUAGGUUGUUGUCUAGUGUCUACUACCUCAGCUUCUCAUCCCACCCAACUCUCCCUCUUUAACUACCUAAUAUGAAAUUAAAAUAUGAAUUUAACAACCUGUCCGUCUUGUCCACCGUUUCUUUGGCUCUUCAGUCUUCAGACUUCGGCCUUUUAAAGCAGGACCUAAAAGGUUUGGGCCCAAAUGUUGGAAAAACUUAACACAGGCUGCAAUUUUGGGCCCCAAAACUCUUUCCAACUGGGCCUGAACACUUUUAGGCCCAAGAUGCUUUAGAUUUUGGACUCGCAGACCAUGUAUAUGCCCUCAACACCACCAUGCUUUACUUCAUCCCUUCCUUUCAAAUUAAAAGGAAAUUCAAAUUUCAUGAUGUUACAACUUGCUCAUUGAUGUACAUUCCCAUUCACAAAAAAUAAAAUAUUAAAUGCACUUAUCCAAAAUAUCUUCAUACCUACCUAUUUUUAUUUUUAAAAUAAAAUUUAAACGUUGAAUAACAAAAAUACCAUUUUUGUCAUCCUUACCCUUCACCCUUCCGAAACCCUAAUCUAAUCUUCCCUUUCUCUCUUCUUUCAUUUUCCAUCUUCUUAAAUGGGAAAAUAACGAUCAUCAGAGCCCACCGUGACUUGUGACAGGUUCGAUCCCUUAACAAUGACGAGGCCAUUAUGGAUAAUAUAAGGAUAAGCAUUACAAUAUUUCACUCCUUCACGUGCAUCUCCCUUCACACAAAGAUGCUUCCUUCACUCAUUUUAUAUUAAUAAUAUGAUAAAUUAUACAAAAAAAAAACAAUUUUUUUUUUAUCAAAAUUGUUUUCAACAAUAUUUCAAAUAUAUAUAUAUAUAUAUAUAUAUAUAUAAAUUUGGAAAACUUGUAUUUUGGAGCUGCUAUUUAGAAAUUAUAUAGUUUUCGGAACCCAAAAAUGAGAAAUAUGAUAAUCAAAUUUUAAUAUGAAAAGUAUUAUCGUUUUUGUGCACUUUGAGUAGACUUCAUCUUUUGUGCCCAAAUGGCCCCUCCAUGUCUCCAGCUCAGCAUUCUUAGCAUCAUCCCAACCUUUGUGUCAGUAGAACCAUUGAAAUUAAGAAAAAAAAAAACACAAAAAUCUAAAUUUGUAACUUCUCAAAAAAAAAAAAAAAAAAACCCAAUCUGCAAGUUUUCAAUUUGCUCAUUUGGAAAACAUUUUUUUUUAUAAAUAUCAAUAUUAUUUUUAAAAAAUGGUGACUUUUAGCUUUUAAUUAAAACUAAGAACAAGAAGUUAUUCCAAAUAUGACUUAUGUAUUUAUUCAGUGAAAGUAAUUUUUUCAUUUAAAAAAAGUAAUUUCUUGGUGAUAAAAAGAAAUAUUUUUUUAGUAGCUUUUCGAUGCUAUAAAAAAAGUGUUGGCUAAGUUUGUAUGAUAAAAUUGGUGUUAUUUAUAUACCAGCACUUUCGCUAGGGUCUUAUUUAUUGGGAAAACUGAUUAAUAAACUAAUCUUCUGUUUUGUUUUCAGUUCAAAGAGUGGUAGAGUAGAGGAGGAGGCAUGGCUCAGACAUUUGGGUGCAGCUCUGGAGAUAGUAGAUGGUCUCUCAAGGGAAUGACUGCUCUUGUAACUGGUGGAACUAAAGGAAUUGGGUUGGUGUUACCUGUUUUUAUGUCUUUGGGUUUGGACUAUACCUUCCUAUAUAUAAACGUAUGUAUCAAUUCUGCAGGCAUGCAAUUGUGGAGGAACUGGCUGGAUUAGGAGCAACCAUACACACGUGUUCUCGAAAAGAAACCGAGCUCAAUGAAUGCUUGAAGGAUUGGAAAGCUAAAGGUUUUGGAGUGAGUGGUUCAGUGUGUGAUGUAUCCUCUCGGGCCCAAAGGGAGAAGCUAAUGGAGACUGUCUCUUCUGUGUUCAAAGGGAAGCUGAAUAUCCUUGUAAGUUCCUCUAGUCUCUAAGGUUCCGAUCCAUGAUAUUCCACAUACUUUGUCGAACUUCCAACAAUUUGAGUUCCCCUACUUGAUAUAUAUAUUUUGGUUCCGGAUUCAGGUCAACAACGCUGCUAUUGUUAUUCAGAAACCAACAGUAGAGGUCACGGCAGAAGAGUUCUCAACAAUCAUGGCCAUAAAUUUUGAAUCUGUGUAUCAUCUGUCCCAACUCGCACACCCCCUUUUAAAGGCAUCAGGAGCGGGAAGCAUUGUAUUCAUCUCCUCUGUUGCCGGCGUAGUGUCAAUCAAGUAUCUGUCUGCUUAUUCAGUAACCAAAGGUAUUUCAUUACAUGAUCCACAUUAUAUAUAUAUAUAUAUAUUGCAAGUUCUUGGGUUGUGGCCCUUGUGGCCUUCUCGGCGUGUCAUUAUCAUUAUCAUAUUGUGAUUUUUCAGGAGCAAUGAAUCAGCUUACAAAGAAUUUGGCAUGCGAGUGGGCGGAAGACAAUAUUAGAAGUAAUGCAGUUGCUCCUUGGUACAUCAAAACUCCGAUGGUGGAUCAGGUAAUUCAGUUGCUCUUCUGUUUUGUCUGGGAAAAUUCAAUAAUCAAUUCCUCUCUCUUUUCUGUCUUUUGCAUAAUCUGGGUUGCAGAUGUUCAGUAACAAAACCUUUCUGGAAGAGGUGAUAAAUCGAGCUCCACUUCGCCGUGUGGGAGAUCCGAAGGAGGUGUCAUCUUUGGUGGCAUUCCUCUGUCUACCAGCAUCGUCUUACAUUACUGGACAGACUAUUUGUGUCGAUGGUGGCGUGACUGUUAAUGGUUUUGAGCCAAACCUGUUCUAGGAACAUCAUUAAGACUCUCAAAAAUCUUAGCUUCCUCUACCGCUUUCCUGUUUGGAUCCUGUCUUUUUCCUGAAUAAUCUGUUUGUGGUGGUAAGUACUCUUCUGUUUUUUCGGUGUGGGGUUCAUUUGAAAACAUUGUUGCAUGAUGCUUAUAAUAAUCGUUGGAAAGUUUGUAAGAAGUUACUUAUCAUUGGAUGAGAUUCUUGUGAUGGGUGUUUCCUAUAAUCAGAUUUAUCUUGUUAUUGUAGUAAUAGGAUUGAAAGAAAAAUGCAAAUAAUCAUAAAAGGAUGAUGAAAAUCGGGAAGAGUUCAUCAUUUUUACUUAUUCAAAUAUUACACCAUCUCUUAUUUACAAUAAAUUUCAAAGAGUGUAAGUGAAACCAACCUUAAAUUAAUUUUGUUUGAUAAAUUUAGAUGAAAUUCAACAAGUGUGAAUCUUUAAUUUUUUUUCAUUUCAAUUAAUUUGGUAUCUAUUAUGAGGUUGCCCAUCAAGCUAAAAAUGACCAAAUAUGAUAUAAGCAUGAAGUCUUUGUUAUAUCUCGGAGAUUAAGAAUUGAUUCCAAUACUUUAUAACUUCCUCUUUUUACUUUAUAUAUCCAUGAAUUUAAGAUAGGUCCCUCACAUGUUUAGCUUCUCCCCUUGACGUACGUAGUGUCAUAUGGACAAUAAUUAAUGCUUGUUCAGCUAAGGUCAAAUAUAUGAAAACAAAUAAGAUUCAUUCACGUAAAACAUACAUGUAGCAAAGAGACGAAGGAAAGUGGGUUCUGUGAUCUAUCACACAUCAUGGAAAAAGCUGUGGUACCAUGGCUUUUCCAGGACUUUUCCUUGCAUAAUGGUACUGACAACAGUAUGCUAUUCUGUUGUUACUCUUAAGAUAUUUUAAUAUAAAGUAGCGCGUAUGUACUAUAUACAAUUCAGUGACGCCAUCUAACACGUUAGCCAAUAAGGUUACAAAUUUUAAUUUUAUAUUAAUAAUAUGAUUUGGGUAUGCUCCAUAUUUUAAAAUAUAAUUGAAUCAUAAAUAUCUAGAACUAGAAAUCCUUUUGAGGGACCAAUAACAUAAAUCAUUAAAAUUUUAUAAUUUGAUAUUAUAAAUUCCUAAUUAAAUUUUAAAAUAUAUUAAAUUUAUUUGAUAUAAAUAUAUAUAAAAAUAAAGAAAAAAAUUAAUAUUUUCAUAUGAUAAAUUAUACAAAAAAAAACAAAUAUAUUUUUUUUUAUCAAAGUUGUUUUCAACAAUAUUUCAAAAAUAUAUAUAUAAAUUUGGGAAACUUGUAUUUUGGAGCUGCUAUUUAGAAAUGAUAUGGUUUUCAGAACCCAAAAAUGGGAAAUAUGAUAAUCAAUUUUUAAUAUGAAAAGUAUUAUCGUUUUUGUGCAUUCUGAGUCGGCUUCAUCUUUUGUGCCCAAAUUGCCCCUCCAUGUCUCCAGCUCAGCAUUCUCAACAUCAUCCCAACCUCCAUGUCAGUAGGACCAUUGAAAUUAAGAAAAAAAAAAACACUAAAAUCUAAAUUUGUAACUUCUCAAAAAAAAAAAAACCCAAUAUGCAAGUUUUCAAUUUGCUCAUUUGGAAGCUUUUUCUCAUCUUUUUCUCUCAUUUUAGUUUAGAAACUCAAAUCCAAAACUCUAAAUGUGAUAUGUUGUGGAAUUGUUUUCAUAGUCCUUAACAAGAUGCAUGCGGCAUGUACUGAACUUUAACCUAAUUCCUUCUACCAAUUUUUCUGGCCCCAAGUUACUAGGGACUAUGGCUCCGAUUGGGUGGUUUUUGAGUAGUCAAAAACCAUUUUUAAAGCUUAGUAAAAAAUUUUAUGCCCCUCAUUUUAUUUAAACAAUUUAUAACUUAAAAAAAUAAGAAAAUAAAAAAAAAUGUUUUUUUAAGCUUUAUUUUGACUUAUUCAAAAAGUUUUUUUAUUUUUUUUAUUUUUAUGUUUAAUACAUUUUUUAUAAUUUCAAUAUUAUUUUUAAAAAAUAGUGACUUUUAGCUUUUAAUUAAAACUAAGAACAAGAAGUUAUUCCAAAUAUGACUUAUGUAUUCAUUCAAUGAAAGUAACUUUUUCAUUUAAAAAAAGUAAUUUCUUGGUGAUAAAAAGAAAUAUUUUUUUAGUAGCUUUUUGAUGCUAUAAAAAAAGUGUUGGCUAAGUUUGUAUGAUAAAAUUGGUGUUAUUUAUAUACCUGCACUUUUGCUAGGGUCUUAUUUAUAGGGAAACUUGUGUUUAAUAUGCUCAAUUCUAUUUCUUUGUAUGGCUAUGCAAUUGUUCAGAUUUGGCAACACUAAUCAAUAAAUGUACGUUAUAUUUGAAACAUUGGAAUAAAAAAAAGAAUAAGAGUUAAUUUUAUUUUCAAUUUAUUACUAUAUUUGAAUUAUUUUUUACAAUGAUAAUAGAAUUAAAAAGAAAAUCACUUAGUAACCCUUAGGUACUACCUUAAUAUACCUUAAAUAACCUUAAUCGAUCUUAGAUAUUAUCUUAGUUACACUUGGGUACUACCUAUGUGAAGCCUCAAAACUUCAUUUGUAGACAUUACUUCAUGUGUGAACAUUAGAGAUGACAUUAUGUGCACCUUUAAUAAGUGUUACUAAGGUAGUACCUAAGGUACAAUCAACACUAUAUCAAAGGUGCACAUAAUGUCAUGCUCUAAUGUUCACAAAUAAAGUAAGUAAUGUUUACAAAUGAAGUUUCCAGGCUUCACACAGGUAGUAUCCAAGUCUAAUUAAGUAGUACCUAAGGUCGGUAAGGUAGAUUAAGGUAAUACCUAAGGGUUACUAAGGUAGUACCUAAGGUACAAUCACCACUAUAUCAAAGGGGCACAUAAUGUCAUGCUCUAAUGUUCACAAAUAAAGUAAGUAAUGUCCAUAAAUAAAGUUUCGAGGCUUCACACAGGUGGUACCCAAGUUUAACUGAGAUAAUACCUACAAUUAGUUAAAAUUAGUACCUACAAUCAGUUAAGAUAGUACUUAAGAUAAAUUAAUGUAGUACCUAAAGGUUACUAAGGUAGUACCUAAAGGUUACUAAGGUAGUACCUAAGGUACAGUAAAUACUAAAGAACAAUAAAUAAAAAUUAAUUACCUUCGUAUUUCGAGUAGGGGUUAGGGAAAAAUGUGACAGAAUGACAGGAAGACGAGACAUUUUUUUUUAGGAAACCAAUAUUUUGGAUUUCACCUUUUCGUCCAAGUACGCUUUGCUAUAGAAAAAUCAAUAUCAUAGUUGCGCCUAUUGAAACCAUCUUUUAACUGGACGUUCUUAGGAUGGAGUGCUCCAUUUGGUUGUUGAGAAUUUAGACAAGAAAGAAAAAUGCAGGUUGGAGUUUUGGAUUAAGGGUUUCUUUUCUCAAAUUGAAGAAAUUUUAGGAAAUUUUAAAUGGGUUUUAGGAUCGUCUGGGUGAUAAAGCCAAGAGAAAUAGAGAAAGAAAUGUUUCCAACCUUUAAGAGGAAAAAGUUUCAGAUUUGGGAAAUUUGAGAUGGUUCCCGGGUCAAGUGUUUUUUUGUGUUUUAGAUUUGAGAAGUUUCAAAUUCUUGGAGAAGAUAUAAAUAUGUAGAUUUGAAUUUUAAGGGUUUCUUUUUUGAAAUGAGAGAAAUUUUGGAAAAUUUUAUAGGUGUCUUUCUAAUUCGGCUAGGUAAGGAAGUGAAGAGAGUUGAGAGAAAAUGUUCCCAAAUGAGAGAGAUGGAAAGUUUUUGAUUUGGGAAAUUAGAGGUGUUGUCAGGAUGGGUGUUUAUGAGAACUUUCAAAUUCUAAUUUUUGUGUUUUGUUUAAUUUCAGAAGGUCUUGUUGACAUGAAAAGCUGACUUACUGCUGACAUGGAGACAUUGAGGGACAAUCUGGGAAUAGAAAAUGUAAACAUGACAUAGUGCAUGAGAACGAUAAUAUUUUCUCCAAUAACAGGGAAAUAUCAUAUUUCAUAUACUUGGGGUUCGAAAAGCAUAUAAUUUUCAAAUCACAGACUGAAAACACAAGUUUCCCAUAAAUAUACUUAAAGCAUGUUUGAUAACAAUUUUGAAAAAUAAUUUUCGAAAAUAGUUAUUUAAAAUUGUUUUUUGAUGUUUACAACAUAAAAAAAAAAAAAAAACAUGUUUGACAACCUAAAAUAAUUUUUAUAUCUAAUAUUUUAUUUUUAAUAAUUCGAUAUAUUUGUAUAAUUAUUUUUAAAAAUAGCUGUAAAAAAUAAGUGAAAACAAGUAAAGAUGUUAUCCGAAAACAUUAUAUUUUUUAUUUUUAAAAACAAAAAAUAGUUUUUCUUAUUCUCAAACAAGUUUUCCUGUUUUUUACGAAGAAAAAAUUAUUGUCAAACAAUCCCUUAUAUACUUGUGUUUUAUCAAGUGGUGAAAUAUCUUUGUAUGAAUUAUAUAGCAACUCAUAAGAGUAAGAGAAAAAGAGACAAUUUUAAAAGUGCAUAUGACAAGUGGAAAUUAUUAGAAAAGAGGCAAUUUUAAGAAUGGAUUUGAUAUGUGUCACAAAGACCACUAAAAUUUGGUGUGAAUAUAUAAAUAAGUUUUAAAUUUUGUUGAUUAACAUAUCUAUAAAUUUUUUUAUUUAUAAAAUUUAAUUUUUAGAGAAAUUUUAGAUAAAAAGAUUUUAGAUCUAUUCAAUCAAAAAUUGAAAGAGUAACUUAAUGUAUUUACUCUAAGCCUCAUGGUGUGUGAAUUAAACCAACCUUCAAAGAAAAAUAGAAAAAAAAAAAAGUGAAUCAUAAUAAAAAGGAAAGUAGUCAAAAUCAAAAGGAGAAUCAAAUUUGAUUUCCAUAUUAGUGAUUUUUUAAAAAAAAUUCUAUUAUCAUUGUAAAAAAUAAUUCAAAUACAUUAAUAAAUUGAAAAUAAACUUAACUCUUAUUCUCAUUUCUUAUUCCAAUGUUUCAAAUAUAACGUCCAUUUAUUGAUUAGUGUUGCCAAAUCCGAACAAUUGCAUAGCAAUACAAAGAAAUGGAAUUGAGCAUAUAAAACACUUUUUUUUUAUAGUAUCAAAAAGCUACUGAAAAAAAUAUUUCUUAUCUCCAAGAAAUUACUUUUUUAAAAUGAAAAAAUUACUUUCAUUGAAUGAAUACAUAAGCCGUAUUUGGAAUAACUUCUUAUUCUUAAUUUUAAUUAAAAGCAAAAAGUCACAAUUUUUUAAAAAUAAUAUUGAUAUUAUAAAAAAUGUAUUAAACAUAAAAAAACCUUUUUGAAUAAAUCAAAAUAAAGCUUUAAAAAAAACAUUUUCUUGAUUUUCAUAUUAAGUUAUUUUUUAAGUUAUAAAUUAUUUAAAUAAAAUGAGCAGCAUAAAAAAUCUUAUAGAGCUUUAAAAAUGGUUUUUGACUACUCAAAUCCACCCAAUCGGAACCAUCAUCCCGGUAACUUGGGGCCAGAAAAAUUGGCAAAAGGAAUGAGGUUAAAGUUCAGUACGUGUUGCAUGCAUCUUAUUAAAGACCAUAAAAGCAAUUCCAUAAUAUAUCACAUUUGGAGUUUUGGAUUUGGGUUUUUAAACUAAAAUGAGAGAAAUUUUGGGUUGUCGAAAGCGAAGAAAGAUGAGAGAAAACUUUCAAAUAAGUAAAUUGAAAACUUACAGAUUGUGUGUGUGUGUUUUUUUUUUUUUUUUUUAAAAAAAGUUAUAGAUUAAGAUUUUAAUAUUUUUUUUUUCUUAAUUUCAGUGGUUUGAUUGAUAUAGAGGUUGAAAUGAUGUUGAGGAUGCUAAGCUGGAGACAUGAAUGGGCAACUUGGGCAUGAAAGAUGGAGCCAGCUCAGAGGCAUAAAAACGAUAAUACUUUUUAUAUUAAAAAUUGAUUUUCAUAUUAAAUUUUAUACAUCUAUUUUAAAACAAUUAAAAUUUUAUUCAAUUUUCAAUUAUAAUAUAUGCACUGCCUCUCGCGGGUCGAUACUGCUGACGAGUGCAUGAAAUUAUUAUAAAUAUCUCAUGGAAUGAGGACAGAUUAAAGAAGAGGAGAGAGAGAGAGAGAGAGGGAGAAGAAGAAGACAACCAAAAAAGAAAAGGAAGACAGCAUUGUAAACAUAGAAAAUGGAAAGUAUUGGAAAUAUUUCAUGAAAUCGGAGUAAACAACAAAACAAAAUAAAAUACUUUUAAUCCCUGUUUCCUACUUCUGUCAUAAAGUAUGGAUAGAGAUGAGACGAAGGAGGAGAAGGAGGAGAAGGAGGAGCACUCAGCUUUCACCGAUACUGCAGUGUGUUGUGGUGGUGUAGCAUAUGGUAGGAUGUCAUUCUUGCUCCAAAAGUGUGGGCAGAUCCAUUUUUAUUUUCCUUUUUUCAUCUCUGUCCUCACUGAUUCGUUUUGGGUAUCCAUCAAUAUUUAUCAGUGGGCUUGGUGUUAGUCAAAAGCCACCAAUUUUUCUUUCCUUUUUUUUUUUCCCAUAUAUUAGAAUGAAAUGUUGUUGUCCAUUUUAGGGGAAGGCGUUAUGCUGAACUGAACUGUGCGAGGGGAAUGAAAAUUAAUUUAGGGGUUUUCUUCCUCCUCUAUUUUUGGCUCUCUUUCAUGAGGGUACAGAUUCUCUUUUUUUCUCUCGGAGUGUUUGGAUUGUUUCAUUCCAUUUAACUAUUUUUGCAGCAUAUUCCGAGUGUUAUAGGUAUUGGGUAAUCAGUAAUACAGAAAAUGUAAUAUAAUUUUGUACUAUGUAGUUUUGGACUUGGGGUAGGAUGAGUUUAAUUUAUGUAGAUUCAUGUCACUAUUCUCAGCCUUCAAUGCAUUGAUUUCUCCAGAUUUUGAUAUAUAUAUAUAUAUAUAUAUACAAACUGCAAUGGGAAUAAAAAGGAUGGUUGUUUCUUCAAGAAUUCUGAGAAAAAAAAAGGGGGUGGGGGGGCAAGAGAGGUUUGAGGAGGCCAUUGGGACUGUUAUCAGUUCUGUGUCUUUUGUUUUCAAGUUGUAAGAAGUCCCUGUUAUGCCAUUUGCUAUGUUGUUUCUGUCCAAUUUUCAGUUGAAAGAGUGGUAGAUUAGAGAAGGAGGAAUGGCUCAGACAUCUGGAUGCAGCUCUGGAGAUAGUAGAUGGUCUCUCAAGGGAAUGACUGCUCUCGUAACUGGUGGAACUAAAGGAAUUGGGUUUGUGAUGUUACCUGUAUUCUAUGUCUUUGGUUUGGACUACACCUUCCUUCCCAUAUAUAAAUGUAUGUAUCAAUUAUGCAGGCAUGCAAUUGUGGAAGAACUGGCUGGACUAGGAGCAACCAUACACACAUGUUCUAGAAAAGAAACCGAGCUCAAUGAAUGCUUGAAGGAUUGGAAAGCUAAAGGUUUUGGAGUGAGUGGUUCAGUGUGUGAUGUAUCCUCUCGGGCCCAAAGGGAGAAGCUAAUGCAGACUAUCUCUUCUGUGUUCAAUGGGAAGUUGAAUAUCCUUGUAAGUUCCUCUAGCCUGUAAAGUUCCAACCUGUGAUCUUAUACAUAAUUUGUUGAACUUAUUACAAUUGAGUUCCCCUGCUUGAAUUUUUGUUGGAUUCAGAUCAACAAUGCUGCUAUAAGUAUUCAGAAACCAACAAUAGAGGUCACAGCUGAAGAGUUCUCAACAAUCAUGGCCACAAAUUUUGAAUCUGUGUACCAUCUGUCCCAAAUCGCACACCCCCUUUUAAAGGCAUCAGGAGCCGGAAGCAUUGUAUUCAUCUCCUCUGUUUCCGGCAUAGUGGCACACAAGAAUAUCUCUGCUUAUUCAGUAACCAAAGGUAUUUCAUCACAUGAUCCAUGGUAUAUUCCAAGUGCUAGGAGUAAAUUCCUAUUUACCAGAGCAAUACUGAACAAGAGAAACAUAUAGAAUUUAUAGCGGUUCUCUUCUAAAGGGAGAGCUACAUCCAUUUUGCCAUUGUAGAUUUUCAUUAUGAAAAAAAAAAAAACCUACAGAACGAUCUCAGGUCUUACAAUAAUUAUCUCAUCUCUGAUUUUCCACAGAGAAAACAGUCACCAUGCAUGUACAAAAUAACUAUAAUAUCCCUUUGAUUGAUUCUCAGUCACCAGGAAAAGUGUAUAUUGUAAUUAGCAAGGCUCCACACAACUGAACAGCAAGUCCUUGGAUUGACCAUCUGUCAUUAUCAUUUUGUGAUUUUUCAGGAGCAAUGAAUCAACUUACAAAGAAUUUGGCAUGCGAGUGGGCGAAAGACAAUAUUAGAAGUAAUGCUGUAGCUCCUUGGUACAUCAAAACUCCAAUGGUGGAGCAGGUAAUUUCUAAUUUCCCUUCACAUCAUUUAGUUGCUCGAAUUCCCUUCUUUUUUUCUUGGUCUGGGAAAAUAGAAUAAUUGACUCGUCCUUCCUUCUCUGUCGUUUACAUUCUCUGGGUUCCAGAUGCUCACUAACCAAGCCUUUCUGGAAGAGGUGAUAAAUCGAGCUCCACUUCGUCGUGUGGGAGAUCCAAAGGAGGUGUCAUCUUUGGUAGCAUUCCUCUGCCUACCGGCAUCAUCUUACAUUACUGGACAGAUUAUUUGUGUUGAUGGUGGCAUGACUGUUAAUGGUUUUGAGUCAAACCUGCUCUAGGAACAUCAUAUGUGAUGGUAUUAUAGCCCUAAUUUGGCUGGCAUGUAUGGAGACUCUUUCAAACAUCUUAGCUUCCUCUACUGCUUCCAUGCCUGGAUCCUUUCUUUUUCCUGAAUAAUCUGCUUGUCAUGCCAAAGUCUUUAGUUUUUUUGGUGUGGGGUUCCCUUGAAAACCUUGCUGCAUGAUGCUUAUAAUAAUGUUUGGAAAGUUUGCUAAUUUUUAUUUGGGUUCAAAUUUUAAUUUUUCAAAAAGUUUCUUAUUAUUUGAUGAGAUUCUUGUGAAGGGUGUUUUUAUAAGGAUUUUAAUUCCAUACAUAAAUCAUACAUCUUUAAUCUCAAUACCAUUGAAAUAUAUAUCCAAUCCUUUGUUGUUCUUUCGUUUUUUUGUAACUUAAUUGUAGUAGGAUCGGAAAUAUGCGAACACUUUCUACUUUUGACCAUUUGCUUUGCUAAAUUAGACCAACUUUUCAUAAUACAAUUCUCAAGUAUUUCUUCAUUUUCAUUACAAUGAUCAUGCAUGGAUAUGGAAAAACUAAUCGGACUCUAAUGUCGUUCAAAUGCAUUUCAUAGAUCAAUCUUCAUCGUCGUAUCCUAAUUUUCAAAACUUGUUAGAACUUCUAAACUUAGUCAAUAUGUAUAGACAUGAUAUCCUCCAUGAUUUUUUUUUAUUGCAACGAAAAAAAGUUAUACAUUCUAUAUUUGAUCCCUAAAUAAAAAAGAAAAAAAGAAAAAAAAAAGAAUGUCUUGCAAAAAUAUUAGGGUUGCACAAAGUUUGGUUGUUAGAAUAAGUAAAAAUGAUGUGCAUCAAAAUAUGUCUUUGAGAAUGGCAAAUAUGUGAGUGCGCUUUAAAAACUCAAAUGGCUUCAAAUGAAUUUCAAGGAAAUGAUUCCAACAUAUAUUCAUCUUCUUAUACCUUUCUGUGCUUCUCCACCAUUUGUAACAAUUUCCUCACUCAUUUGUAAUCCUAAUAAACCUUCCGACCUAUUUUAAAAUUUGUCAAUAUAUUUUAAGCUAAGCUCACCAUCUAUAGUAUCAAAAAAAUUUCUCCUUAAUCCAUGUGGGAUAUGUAUAAUGAAUAAUAUUUGCUCAAAGGUUAAAUAUAUGAAAAUAAUUAAGAUUCAAUCACAUAAAAAUUACAUAUAGCAAGUAGGGAUAACAAUUUUGAUACUAAUAUAAUAAAACGACUAAAAAAUUACAUGGAUUUUAGUAGUUUUGGGUUAAGUAUAAUCAUAUUUAUGUUAUAAUUGUGUAAACACAUUUAUUAAACCAAUGAUAUUGGAAUGUGACUAUUCAACUCAUUUAACCCAUUUAUUUAUUCAUAUCAAAACACAUCUAUGAUAUGAUUAUGAGAACUAAUUUAUGAUUGACAUAACCAAUUUAUAACUUAUUAAUUAAUUCAUAUAAAUUUAUUAAUUUUAUAGAUAUUUAAAAAAUAUUAAAAAUUUAAAACACUUUUUCAAUUAUAAAGAUGUCCUAUAAAACACUAAGGAGGUCACCCUUAUUUAUAUAUGAAAUUAGGGAAUUAAAUUUGAAAUAUAUGAUAUUUGAUUACUUAAUUUAAAGAAUUUGAUUUCUUAAUUUCAAUAACUUUUCAGCCUCAUUUAAGAAAUUUGCCAACAAUCAAAUGUUUUUUCUAAGUCCCUUUUGACUUCAAUUUCCCAAUUUGUUUCUCCUAUUUGAGAAAUCUAUCAAUAAGAAAAUAUUUCUCUCUAAUUCCUUUUUAACUUUAAUUAUUUUAUUUUAUUUUAUAAGACUAGAUUUUGAAACCGUUCAAAUUUUACCGUGUGUUAUUUUUAAAAUCGUAUAUCGCAUGUUCAAUGUGUAGAAUUCAUGACUUAUGAAAUCCAAAUUUUAUUGAACUAUAGGGUUAUAACUUUAGUGACAAAUUUUAUAGUAAUUUAAUCCUUCUUUUAUUUUUAAGCCUACAUAGCUCAACAAGUUGAAUAUAUUUUUAUCGUGUUAAUGGGUUAUCAGUCUUGAUUUAAUUUAAUUUAUCAAAGAGGUUAAAUGAAUGAUUCCCAAUUUGCCACCACAAUAACAAGAGACAACAGACAGAAGGAAAGAGAAACUAAAAUACGUAAUGUGACUUUUCCUUUCAUGUUGCUUACUAUACUUGGUGUCUCUUAAUUUGUUUUUAUUAUAAGAUGUUAAUAAUAUGAUUUUAUUGAUUUAUACCCCAUAUAUAUCAUUUGAGGGAUUGAAAAUAUUGCAAAUUCAUAAUUAAAUUUAAAAGAUAAAUACAUAUACACACACACACAUAUAUAUAUAUAUAUAUAUAUAUAUAUAUAUAUAUAUGAAUAAAAAAAAUCAUCUAUGUAUAAAAUAAUAAUAAGUAGUCUAUUUUUAUCAUUUUUAUGUUAGAAGUUAAUCGAAAACAUAUUUUUUGUUUUUCCAUAAUUUAUACAAAAUUAUAAUAAAAUUUUUAUUCUAGAUAAAAUUAUAUUUUAUAAUUUGUAAUAAUUUAAUUAUAUCAAUUUAAUAUUUUGAUAUCCGUCGUAAAUUAUAUAGAAAUAUUGGAGUGCAAAUACUAAACUACAUAAUAACAACAAGACACCUUAUUCAUCCAAAUUUUCAAAUUUCAAAUAGAAAAUAUUAAAAACAUAAUUUUUAAAUUUAUUAAAAUAUUUAUAUUUGUAAAAAAGUAAUUAAUAAAGAUUUUAAAAUUUUAAAUAUGAUUAAUGAGAUUAUUAUGUGGGUAUUUAUUACUAAUAUUUAAUAUUAAAAAAAAUAAAAUAACAAUAUGAUAUUAAGAUUAUAUUUUUAUAAAUAUAGCAAAAUGAGAUUAUUCUAAAUUCAGUGAUGAUAACAUUAUAGUAAAAAUAAGGAGUGAUAUAAUUAUAAAUAUUUCACUAAGAGCAUAAAAAAUAAAAAAAUAUGGUAAAUUUAGCGAGUAAUAUUGUUACUAUAAAUAUCUGGUGACACGACGACAGAUAUAUGAGUAGAGAAAAACCUCGCUAUUCUACAUAUAGAGAUUCAGAUACCAUUGCCUAUGUCAUGAAAUCAGAGUCCACAAGAAGACAACAUAAAAUGCUAUCGAUCCAUCGCUGUUUCUUGCUCCUGUUAUAAAUUAUGGAUACUAGAUGAAGAUGAGAAGUAGAAGGAGAAGAAACACUUAGCUUUCAAGGAGUCGUAGAGCAGAGGAGGAGACAUGGCUCAGACAUGUGGGUGCAGCUCUGGAGAUAGUAGAUGGUUUCUCAAGGGAAUGACUGCUCUUGUAACCGGUGGAACUAAAGGAAUUGGGUUGGUGUUACCUGUUUUUACGUCUUUGGGUUUGGACUACACCUUCCUAUAUAUAAACGUAUGUAUCAAUUCUGCAGGCAUGCAAUUGUGGAGGAACUGGCUGGAUUAGGAGCAACCAUACACACGUGUUCUCGAAAAGAAAGCGAGCUCAAUGAAUGCUUAAAGGAUUGGAAAGCUAAAGGUUUGGAGUGAGUGGUUCAGUGUGUGAUGUAUCCUCUCGGGCCCAAAGGGAGAAGCUAAUGGAGACUGUCUCUUCUGUGUUCAAUGGGAAGCUGUAUAUCCUUGUAAGUUCCUCUAGUCUCUAAGGUUCCUAUCCAUGAUAUUCCACAUACUUUGUCGAACUUCCUACAAUUUGAGUUCCCCUACUUGAUAUAUAUAUAUAUAUAUAUAUUAUAUACUUUUUUUUAGAACCAGACAGCUUUGGUUUCAAAGACCCUACAUUUACCCAUCAUCCUUGUUAAAUAAUUAUGAGGAAGUCAUACUUACACGUGGAGAUUGAAAAAAAUAAUGAAUGAAUUCCACCAAAUGAAUUAAUUUUGUUUGGCAAUUUCAUUUGAAAAUCAACAAAGAAUGAUGUGAGGUGUGAAUCUUUUUCCAUAUAUCAGCGCACAUAUUCAAAUUCAGCCCUUUCCAUUAAUCUGAUAGCGAUUAUGAGGUUGCGUAGAUGCUACAACAACGACCAAAUGUGAUGAAGAUUUCAGGAAGUGUUGUGAAGAAUUUGAAGAAAAAUAUGAAGAAUUUGAAACAAAAUAUGGAGGAACACCUCAAUUCAUUCUGUGAUACCUUCCUUUACAAUGAAUGAAAGCAUAAAUAAAUAGCCUACGGAUAUGAGACAAUUCCGGAAUGGAAUUUCCCUUACAUGGAAAGUGAAUAAACUCUUACAUGGGAAGUGAAUAAACUACUCUUACAUGGAAAGUGAAUAAACUACCUUGCUAGAAUUACUCCUAAAUAUAUAAACUACUCUUACAUGGAAAGUGAAUAAACUACCUUGCUAGAAUUACUCCUAAAUCAAUUAUAAUAAAGGCUGUACAUUACACUAAUUAGGGAAGUAAACAGAGGAUGCUGGCUUGAUUUCCAACACUCCCCCUCAAGCCGCAUUGUAGAUGUUGAUCAUUCCAAGUUUUUCUGUCAGAUCUUCGAAGUUAACUCGAGCAAGAGCUUUUGUGAGAAUGUCAGCCGUUUGACAGUUUGUCGGAGUGUAGCUGACUUUGAAAACUCCUUCUUCAAUCUUUUCCUUGAUAAAGUGUCGAUCUAUCUCCACGUGCUUAGUUCGAUCAUGAUGAACCGGAUUCUUAGCGAUACUGAUGGCAGCUUGAUUGUCGCAGUAUAACACCAUGGGAUGCUUCAAUGGAACCCGUAAUUCUUCUAACAGCCUGUUCAACCAGAUUCCCUCGCAGAUACCUUGUGCCAUAGCACGAAAUUCUGCCUCAGCACUGCUACGGGCUACCACUGACUGUUUCUUGCUUCGCCAUGUAACCAAGUUCCCUCAGACAAAUGAACAAUAGCCUGAAGUUGAUCUCCGAUCAGUCACUAAACCUGCCCAAUCUGCAUCUGAAAAAAUCUCUAUCUCUUUAUUUGUUGUUCUUUGAAAGAAGAGACCCUUUCCCGGUGUCAUCUUGAGGUAUCUCAAUAUUCUGAUCACAGCAAUCAUGUGUUUUUCGGUUGGAUUAUUCAUGAAUUGACUUACCACACUAACGGAGAAGCCGAUGUCUGGCCUUGUAUGAGAAAGAUAGAUGAGUUUCCCCACAAGACGUUGAUAUCUUCCUUUAUCAACUGGCGCACUUCCAUCACAUUUCUUCCANNNNNNNNNNNNNNNNNNNNNNNNNNNNNNNNNNNNNNNNNNNNNNNNNNNNNNNNNNNNNNNNNNNNNNNNNNNNNNNNNNNNNNNNNNNNNNNNNNNNNNNNNNNNNNNNNNNNNNNNNNNNNNNNNNNNNNNNNNNNNNNNNNNNNNNNNNNNNNNNNNNNNNNNNNNNNNNNNNNNNNNNNNNNNNNNNNNNNNNNNNNNNNNNNNNNNNNNNNNNNNNNNNNNNNNNNNNNNNNNNNNNNNNNNNNNNNNNNNNNNNNNNNNNNNNNNNNNNNNNNNNNNNNNNNNNNNNNNNNNNNNNNNNNNNNNNNNNNNNNNNNNNNNNNNNNNNNNNNNNNNNNNNNNNNNNNNNNNNNNNNNNNNNNNNNNNNNNNNNNNNNNNNNNNNNNNNNNNNNNNNNNNNNNNNNNNNNNNNNNNNNNNNNNNNNNNNNNNNNNNNNNNNNNNNNNNNNNNNNNNNNNNNNNNNNNNNNNNNNNNNNNNNNNNNNNNNNNNNNNNNNNNNNNNNNNNNNNNNNNNNNNNNNNNNNNNNNNNNNNNNNNNNNNNNNNNNNNNNNNNNNNNNNNNNNNNNNNNNNNNNNNNNNNNNNNNNNNNNNNNNNNNNNNNNNNNNNNNNNNNNNNNNNNNNNNNNNNNNNNNNNNNNNNNNNNNNNNNNNNNNNNNNNNNNNNNNNNNNNNNNNNNNNNNNNNNNNNNNNNNNNNNNNNNNNNNNNNNNNNNNNNNNNNNNNNNNNNNNNNNNNNNNNNNNNNNNNNNNNNNNNNNNNNNNNNNNNNNNNNNNNNNNNNNNNNNNNNNNNNNNNNNNNNNNNNNNNNNNNNNNNNNNNNNNNNNNNNNNNNNNNNNNNNNNNNNNNNNNNNNNNNNNNNNNNNNNNNNNNNNNNNNNNNNNNNNNNNNNNNNNNNNNNNNNNNNNNNNNNNNNNNNNNNNNNNNNNNNNNNNNNNNNNNNNNNNNNNNNNNNNNNNNNNNNNNNNNNAUGCAUGAAACGUAGGUGAUAGCUUAUCAUAAGAAAAUAAAAUUUCCAAAUGGGAUGCUGAGUGCAUGAUCUAACUCCUUUCCUCCAAGCUAUGGGCAUAUUAAGAAUAUCAUUUUCUAACUCGGAAUCAACAGUACCAUCAGGAGCGUUGUUACCUGGAAGUUUGCUUGGAUUAGGACCCGGUUCUGCCUCAUGGGUUUGUUGAGAAAGUGAUCUUUCCUCCGUUUCCUCUUGGAUGUGCUCCUUAUCCCACAAGUCAACAAUGGACUCGGGUUGAUUAAAUGACUCUGGAGGAAUGUGAUUUUCAGUGGUGAUGGGUGACUCACUGAAUGACUCAAGAUCCCAAAAUUGAUAUUCCUGAGUUGAAUUCUCCCCCUGAAUAUCGUUUUUGGGAUAGUAAGGCUGGGUUUCAAAAAAGGUGACAUCCAUUGAAUUUUAGAAUUUUCUUGUGACCGGAGAGUAACACUUAUACCCUUUUUGAUUUGAAGAAUACCCAAGAAAGAUGCACUUGAGUGACCUAGGAUCAAGUUUACUUCUAUGUUGUUGAUUGAUAUGAACAAAGAUAGAGCACCCGAAAAUUUUAGGUGGGACGGUGGAGAUGAGACGAGUAGUCGGAAAGGAUUUUAGGAGUGUUUGACAAGGUGUUUGGAAUUUUAGUACCCUAGACGGCAUCCUAUUGAUGAGGUAGGCUGCCAUAAGGACAGCUUGCCCCCAGAAUAAUUUUGGAACAUUCAUGGAGAACAUUAGUGAUCUAGCCACCUCUAACAAAUGCCUAUUUUUCCUUUCAGCGAUUCCGUUUUGUUGUGGGGUAUCAACACAUGAAUUUAAGUGAACUAUCCCUUCUUGUGCUAGAAAUUCUCCUAGAAUGGAGUUGAAAUAAUCCCUAGCAUUAUCAGACUUUAGAAUUUGUAUUUUUGACUGGAAUUGAGUCUGAAUCAUAUUUUUAAAAUUUUUGAAAAUUUGACUCGUUUCAGAUUUUUCUUUCAUGAGGAAUACCCAAGUUAAUCUAGUGUGAUCAUCUAUGAAUGAGACAAACCACCUAGUACCAGUUACAUUUUUUAUUCUUGAUGGACCCCAGAUAUUGCUAUGAAUCAUUGAGAAUGGACUAGACUCUUUAUAGGGUUGAAUGGGAAAAUGAGACCGGACUUGCUUUGAUAAUUGACAGAUUUCACACUCAAAGGAUUUUGGAUUUUUAUUAAAUAAUGAAGGAAAUAAAUGCUUGAGAUACAUAACAUUUGGAUGACCUAAGCGAUAGUGCCACAACCUAAUUGCACUAUCGUUAUUUUGACAUGAAACCAAAAAAGAAUUACUACCAACUGUCAUUUGAGGUUGUUCUUGUGGAUCGUGGCGCUCCUUAAGGAUGUAGAGUCCAGAGCAUUCCUCAGCAUUGCCAAUCGUCUUCCCCGAAUCCAAAUCCUGAAAUUCACAGUGAGUGGAGGAAAAAUUAGUAGAUACACCUCUUUUCCUUAGUGAGUUUACUAANNNNNNNNNNNNNNNNNNNNNNNNNNNNNNNNNNNNNNNNNNNNNNNNNNNNNNNNNNNNNNNNNNNNNNNNNNNNNNNNNNNNNNNNNNNNNNNNNNNNCGUCAUAUGAUCAGAUGCUCCUGAGUCCACUAUCCAAGGUUUUUUACGUUUCUUACCAGCAGUGAAGGCACUCAAAAAAUUACCUUUGUGAGCCAAGGUUCCGGAACCAAUGACCUGGUUGGAAGAUGAGCCAGUUUGUGACUGUACUGACAAAAGAGGAGACAGUAGUUUCUGAAGCAUCUCCAUCUGAUGAGAGGAUGAAGACGAUGAGAUGAUGAUAUCAGAAGUAGAGGAUGAUGAGUUGGUAGCCAUUCCAAAGGCUGGACCGUAUUUAGGCAUAAAUUAGAAGAAUAGAAUUGAGUAAAAAAAAACUGACUAAAGAUGAAGACGAUGAGACAGGAUUAAACCUGCUCUGAUACCAUGAAGAAUUUGAAGAAAAAUAUGAAGAAUUUGAAAACAAAAUAUGGAGGAACACCUCAAUUCAUUCUGUGAUACCUUCCUUUACAAUGAAUGAAAGCAUAAAUAAAUAGCCUACGGAUAUGAGACAAUUCCGGAAGGGAAUUUCCCUUACAUGGAAAGUGAAUAAACUCUUACAUGGGAAGUGAAUAAACUACUCUUACAUGGAAAGUGAAUAAACUACCUUGCUAGAAUUACUCCUAAAUCAAUUAUAAUAAAGGCUGUACAUUACACUAAUUAGGGAAGUAAACAGAGGAUGCUGGCUUGAUUUCCAACAUGUUGGAGUGCGCAUGCUUGAGGAUGAAAACUGUGAACUUGAAAUGACUUAGAAGAUUAAUUUAAGUUUUCAAAUACAUAAAAUAUAAUUAAUAACAUAACUUAAUACAAUAAGUUAAGGCUUCCUAAAGUCUUAAAAUAAAUAACUUUUUCCCAACCUGAAAUAUCCUUUGCCUUGGUAAUAUUCAUGUUCUUCAAGAUCAAAAUUAGUUUGUUUGAUAUAUAAUUCAAAUUAAAAGAUGGAGGGUGUGCCGGGUCCUUUCUAAAUUCAAAAUGGCAUCAUGAAUCAGGUAAGGUUGUGCCCCACGGAUGAAAAUAUAGUAUUAGUUUGGACAAUGUGCCAUGGAAAGAAGAUAGAUUAAGUUCUACAUAUUCAUAUCAGUUGUCUCAGCUUUCACGGCAGACAUUUUCGACGCAAGAGACCGUCUCUUGCGGUGAGUAUUAACCACACUUCUAAAGUUGGAUGUUCGAGAAGACAACUGGGAUUGAUCAGUUUUGUCUCUUUUAUUUUCAGCUUCCUAGAAUCUCUCUCUCUAUCUCUCUUUUUUUUUUCUCAAGGUUAAUGUCAUUUUCUAUGUUGUGGUAGAGUAGAGAAGAACUCAGAAGGCAUGGCACAGACUGGCUGCAGCAAUGGAGAUAAUAGAUGGUCUCUCAAGGGAAUGACAGCCCUUGUAACGGGUGGAAUGAACUUUGAUCUGUCUCUGCCAAUUAUCACCUUGUUUUUAUAUCAAUUCUGCAGGCAUGCUGUUGUGGAAGAACUGACUGGAUUAGGUGCAAGAAUACAUACAUGUUCUCGAACAGAAACUGGGCUUAAUGAAUACUUAAGGGAUUGGGAGGGUAAAGGUUUUGAAGUCACUGGCUCAGUCUGUGAUGUAUCCUCUAGGGCCCAAAGAGAGAAGCUAAUGGAGACAGUAUCUUCUAAGUUUAAUGGGAAGCUGAAUAUCCUUGUUAGUUCCUCUAGUUUGUUAAAUGUGACCCAUCCAUUUUAGAAUCAUUUUCACUAAAUAUAAUUGAUGAGUUACCCUAACUGAAUCUUUGAAUUUAGAUCAACAACGCUGGAACUGGCAAACCGGGACGGACAGUGGAGUUCGCAGCUGAAGAGUUCUCAACGGUCAUGGCUGUAAAUUUUGAAUCUGUGUAUCAUCUAUGCCAACUUGCGCAUCCCCUUCUGAAGGCCUCAGGAGCGGGAAGUAUUGUGCUCAUGUCUUGUGUUUCAGGUGUAGUAUCACUCAAGUAUCUAUCUGCCUAUGGAGCAACCAAAGGUACUUCAUGCCACCAUCGGGUUUAUGUUGCAGGUCCUGUGUUGUUGGACAAGAUGAUAGAUAUUUACCUUUAAAAUUUUUCUUUCGGGGGCACUGAAUCAGCUUGCAAAGAACUUGGCAUGCGAGUGGGCGCAAGACAAUAUCAGGACAAACUCUGUUGCCCCUCGGUACAUCAAAACUUCUCUGGUAGAACCUGUGAGUUUAAUUCCCUUCACCUCAUUUAAAAGUUGCUGUUGUUUUCAUUGGGAAAACUGAUUAAUAAACCAAUCUUCUGUUUUGUUUUCUUUUAUUUUUUUGGUUGUAUCAUUUUGGUUUCAGUUUCUUAGUGAGAAAAGCUUUACGGAAGAGGUAAUAAGAAGAACUCCGCUUGGUCGAGUGGGGGAUCCAAAGGAGGUGUCAUCCUUGGUAGCAUUCCUCUGCCUACCAGUAUCAUCUUACAUUACUGGCCAGACCAUUUGUGCUGAUGGUGGGAUGAAUGUUAAUGGUUUCGAUCCGAGUCAAUGCUAGAAACAACUAGCAUUUAUAUAAUUGUUGUUUUCUCAUAUUUUUCAUACUCACUCUAAUAUUCUUCAUUAUCAUAUUUAUAUAUAUAUAUAUAUAUAGAUAUAUAUAUAUAUUUAUGUAGGUGUACGUGCACACGUGUGUUCAUGUGCGGAUCAUGGACAUUUUUUUUGUAUUCUGUCAUAUUCUUCUUACACUCUCAAAAUAUUCAUAUAUUUUUUACAAUCUUCAUGCAUUUUUUUUUUUUAAUUCUUGAUAUUCUCUCAUAUUCUUUGUAUAAUUUAUAUUGGAAAAAUGAAUAAAAAAAAUAUGGUUUAAAAUUGAUAAAAUAAGAAUAAAAGAUAUAAAAAUAAAAUAAAAUGAUAGAAAAAUAUCAAUAUUAGAGGAAGAUAUACUUGGAUAAUUAGACGCUAAAACCUUGAAGAUGCAAACAUAGUAUGUGGCUAUUUAAUGAGGAACUUAAGGAAUUUGUUCAAUAAUAGUAGCUACCAUGGGAUUAAAGGAUAGUGUAAACGAGUCCGAGGGAGAAACAAUUUUAAUAAAAAAUUAAUUAAAAAUUUAUAUAUUUGUAAUAAAAAUUUGAAAUAAGUUAAAUUAAUUUAAAAUGAUAUAUAAAAAUGAUUUACUGCUUUAAAUCUAUUUUUAUUUUUUAUUUUUUUUUCAUUUCUUUUUUACUUUUUCUUUAUAUAUAUAUAUAUAUAUAUAUAGAUAUAGAUAUAGAUAUAUAUAUUAUAUAUUUUUUUGAGAACCAGCCAGCUUUGGUUUCAAAGACCCUACAUUUACCCACCAUCCUUGUCAAAUAAUUAUGAGGAGCUCAUGCUUACAUGUGGAGAUUGAAAAAAAAUAAUGAUUGAAUUCCACCAAAUGAAUUAAUUUUGUUUGGCAAUUUCAUUUGAAAAUCAACAAAGAAUGAUGUGAUGUGUGAAUCUUUUUCCAUAUAUCAGCGCACAUAUUCAAAUUCAUCCCUUUCCAUUAAUCUGAUAGCGAUUAUGAGGUUGCGUAGAUGCUACGACGACGACCAAAUGUGAUGAAGAUUUCAGGAAGUGUUGGAGUGCGCAUGCUUGAGGACCAAAACUGUGAACUUGAAAUGACUAUUGAAUGCUACCAUAUGAAAUUCGGCCUGAAUCUUUUUCCAAUUCAAAUGCAGGCAGUUCCAUUAAUUUGAUAGAUAUUAUGAGGUUGCCUAUCAUGCUAAGAUAACCAAAUCCGAUGAGAAGUUCAAGAAGUGUUUUGAGUGUGUUUUAGUACUGACACCAUGAAUUCAAAAACAAAUAUAACAUAGAAACACAAAUCAAAACCCAUCACAUGAUGAUAUAGUCGAUAGGAAAUUUGCUUUCUUAAACCAUGCCACGUCCCAUGAAAAAGAAAAUUAAGAAAAUUACAAAUUUUACUUCGAUGGGCUCACAUGCUAUGUGAACCGUCCACUUAAUCGAGGUUAAGAUUAUCUUCAUUUACUUAGAAGAUAAUAAUGAAUUUUUCAAGUAAAAUUUUUUGAGAACCAGACAGCUUUGGUUUCAAAGACCCUACAUUUACCCAUCAUCCUUGUUAAAUAAUUAUGAGGAAGUCAUACUUACACGUGGAGAUUGAAAAAAAUAAUGAAUGAAUUCCACCAAACGAAUUAAUUUUGUUUGGCAAUUUCAUUUGAAAAUCAACAAAGAAUGAUGUGAGGUGUGAAUCUUUUUCCAUAUAUCAGCGCACAUAUUCAAAUUCAGCCCUUUCCAUUAAUUUGAUAGCGAUUAUGAGGUUGCGUAGAUGCUACGACGACGACCAAAUGUGAUGAAGAUUUCAGGAAGUGUUGGAGUGCGCAUGUUUGAGGACGAAAACUGUGAACUUGAAAUGACUUAGAAGAUUAAUUUAAGUUUUCAAAUACAUAAAAUAUAAUUAAUAACAUAACUUAAUACAAUAAGUUAAGGCUUCCUAAAGUCUUAAAAUAAAUAACUUUUUCCCAACCUGAAAUAUCCUUUGCCUUGGUAAUAUUCAUGUUCUUCAAGAUCAAAAUUAGUUUGUUUGAUAUAUAAUUCAAAUUAAAAGAUGGAGGGUGUGUCGGUCCUUUCUAAAUUCAAAAUUGCAUCAUCAAUCAAUCGGAUAAGGUUGUGUCCGACGGAUGAAAAUGUAAUAUUAGUUUGGACAAUGUGCCAUGGAAAGAAGAUAGAUAGAUUAAGUUCUACAUAUUCAUAUCAGUUGUCUCAGCUUUCACGGCAGACAUUUUCGACGCAAGAGACUGUCUCUUGCGGUGAGUAUUAACCACACUUCUAAACUUGGAUGUUCGAGAAGACAACUGGGAUUGAUCAGUUUUGUCUCUUUUAUUUUCAGCUUCCUAGAAUCUCUUUUUUUUUUUUUUCUCAAGGUUAAUGUCAUUUUCUAUGUUGUGGUAGAGUAGAGAAGAGCUCAGAAGGCAUGGCACAGACUGGCUGCAGCAAUGGAGAUAAUAGAUGGUCUCUCAAGGGAAUGACGGCCCUUGUAACGGGUGGAACUAGAGGAAUCGGGUCCGUGUUACCUGUUUUUCUGUUCUGGAAUGAACUUAAUUUGAUCUGUCUCUGCCAAUUAUCACCUUGUUUUUAUAUCAAUUCUGUAGGCAUGCUGUUGUGGAAGAACUGACUGGAUUAGGUGCAAGAAUACAUACAUGUUCUCGAACAGAAACUGAGCUUAAUGAAUAUUUAAGGGAUUGGGAGGGUAAAGGUUUUGAAGUCACUGGCUCAGUCUGUGAUGUAUCCUCUAGGGCCCAAAGAGAGAAGCUAAUGGAGACAGUAUCUUCUAAGUUUAAUGGGAAGCUGAAUAUCCUUGUUAGUUAACCUCUAGUUUGUUAAAUGUGGCCCAUCCAUUUUAGAAUCAUUUUCAUUAAAUAUAAUUGAUGAGUUACCCUAACCGAAUCUUUGAAUUUAGAUCAACAACGCUGGAACUGGCAAACCGGGACGGACGGUGGAGUUCACAGCUGAAGAGUUCUCAAGUAUCAUGGCUGUAAAUUUUGAAUUUGUCUACCAUCUAUGCCAACUUGCUCAUCCCCUUUUGAAGGCAUCAGGAGCGGGAAGUAUUGUGCUCAUGUCUUCUGUUGCAGGUGUAGUAUCACUCAAGUAUUUAUCUGCCUAUGGUGCAACCAAAGGUACUUCAUUCUACCAUAGGGUUUAUGUUGCAGGUCCUGAGUUGUUGGACAAGAUGAUAGAUAUUUACCUUGAUAAUUUUGCUUCAGGGGCACUGAAUCAGCUUGCGAAGAGCUUGGCAUGCGAGUGGGCGCAAGACAAUAUCAGGGCUAACUCUAUUGCUCCUUGGUUCAUCAAAACUUCUCUGGUAGAACCUGUGAGUACCCUUCACCUCAUUUGAAGUUGCUGUUGUUUUCAUUGGGAAAACUGAUUAAUAAACUAAUCUUCUGUUUUGUUUUCUUUUAUUUUUUUGGUUGUAUCAUUUUGGUUUCAGUUUCUUAGUAAGAAAAGCUUUACGGAAGAGGUAAUAAGAAGAACUCCGCUUGGUCGAGUGGGGGAUCCAAAGGAGGUGUCAUCCUUGGUAGCAUUCCUCUGCCUACCAGCAUCAUCUUACAUUACUGGCCAGACCAUUUGUGUUGAUGGUGGGAUGAGUAUUAAUUGUUUCGAUCCAAGUCAAUGCUAGAAACACCUAGCAUUUAUAUUAAUAUAUGUUGUUUUCUCAAAACCGCUUCUGUUUUUGGGAUUAUUUGCUCGUGAUAGUGACCUUGUGGUCCUAGGAUUAAUGCAUGGUUACCAAAUAUUAAGUCUAUGCUUCCAAUAAAUAUUAAAAAAUUUCUUAUUAUUCAAUCACGGAUUUCUACCUUCUUCUCCGGUCAUAGAUACUGUUUAGGUCUCCGGUGCAUUCCCCGCUCACCCACCUACAUCUGAUUGGUUGCAACGUUCAAUCACGGAUUUCUUAUUAUUCAUAUAUCUUUUAGUACAUUUUUUCAAAUUCUUGAUAUUUAUUCGUAUUAUUUGUAUAAUUUAUAUAAGAAAAAAUGAUUUAAAAUAAAAAUAUAUGGUUUAAAAUUGAUAAAAUAUCAUGAAUAACGUUUUACAAUCCAUAAGAUACAAAAAUAAAACAAACUGAUAGAAAAAUAUCGACAUUGGUUAAAAAUAAUUAAGUUAAUCGCGAGUAUAACUAAAUCAUCUCAACUUGAUGAAUGAUAAAUUCAUUUAUAAAAAAAUUUAAAAUAAAAAACCUAUUAAUUAUUGAAAAUUCAAAUAUGAUUUGAUAUAAAUGUUUUGUUAUGAAAUUUACAUUUGUAUGAAAAAAUAGUAAACUUUUCUUAAGGUUCGUAGUCCCCUGGAAACAUUUUUUAGUAUUUUUUUCGAGAGGUACAAAUUUCUUGCUUACUUUAAUAUAUUUAAGACACAAAAUUUGACAUAUAUAUUUGAUCCAUCAAUCAAAACUCCCAUCCCACACACAUUUUGUAAAGUUAGAGCCAUUAGUUUUUAUAUUCAAUUUUUACCUCUUUUUUUGCAUAUUUUAAUAAGAAUAAAUUAGAUGUUGUAAUUUCUUAUUUUAAAUAAGAGUAUGAUACCACAUUAAACGAUAAAAUAAAAAUUGUAUAUAUGUGAAAUAUAUGUCAUUAUUCAUCUUGAUAUGUAUUAUACUGUUUACCUCUUCAACAAGUUUUGUAAAAUUUUUUGUUUUGUAGUAAGUAAAGUGUGGAGAGUUACCCUCAAAGACAUGGGAUUUAAAAGAAAUAAGAAAAAGAGAAAAAUGUCAAAUAUUUCUUAUUAUAAUCACUUGAAAAAUAAGUCCAAUACACGUGGAGUUGAAAUAGGUUUACAAUCAAAGGAAGUAAAAGAAAAAAAGAUAAACUAAUCUUUCCUUGCUCCAAAAAAGAAAGAUAAUAAUGUUGAUGUGGUAAAUAAAUUAAUAAUUUUAACAUCUCCCCACAAACUCAUAAAACUCAUAAUGCGGUUGUAAGAAGUAGUGAGAGCUUAAAUAAAUUAACUUACAAUAAAAUGAAGUAAAAGAAAAAAAUUAAUUUACCCUUACUCGAUAAAUCUUUAGUAUAUUAUUAUUAUUAUUAUUAUUAUUAUUAUUAUUAUAUCUCAAAGUCAAGAUUAUGAACAUGAAAAUUAAACAUAUCGCGCUUCAAUCUUGACAAGACUAAUAUAAAGUGAGGUUUUCCCCUUCUUAUUAUUAAUAUUAUUAUUAUCACUACUACGAUAUCUUUGUUUACACUAAAAUCUUUUCUUUAAUGCCCUCAAAGUCAAGAUUACGAACAUAAAAAGCAUGUCACACUUCAAUGUUCACAAGACUAAUACAAAAUGAGGUUUCCUCCUAAAUUUAUUAUUACCAUUACAUAUCUUUGUUUACACUAAAAUCCUAUCUUUAAUACCCUAAAAGUCAACAUUAGGAACAUGAGAAACAUUUCACUAUUUAAUGUUGACAUGACUAAUACAAAGUGAGGUUUCCCUAAAUUUAUUAUUAUUAUUACAUAUCUUUGUUUUCACUAAAAUCUUAUCUUUAAUACCCUAAAAGUCAAUAUUAGGAACAUGAGAAACAUUUCACAAUUUAAUGUUGACAAGACUAAUACAAAGUGAGGUUUUCCCCUAAAUUUAUUAUUAUUAUUACAUAUCUUUGUUUCCAUUAAAAUCUUAUAUUUAAUACCCUAAAAGUCAAUAUUAGGAACAUGAAAAGUAUAUCACACUUCAAUGUUGACAAGACAUUAUACAAAGUGAAGUAUUAUUUCCAUAAUAUCUUUGCUUACACUAAAAUCUCAUCUUUAAUAUCCUUGAAGUUAAGAUUAUGAGCAUGAAAAAUAUGGCAUACUUCAAUGUUGACAAGAUUAAUACAAAGUGAGGUUUCUUCGUCAAUUUAUUAUUAUUACUACAAUAUCUUCCUACACUAAAAUCUCAUCUUUAAUAGCUCAAAGUUAAUAUUACAAGCAUGAAAGUUCAACAUGCCAUCCUCCAAUCUUAACAAGGCUAAUACAAAUUGUGAUUUCCCUAAUUUUUUUUCCAUUGUCUUUCUUUUUCUUGUACCUGUUGUGAUCGAUUUAGGUCACAAGCCAAAUAAUUGCAAGAAAAUGAACUCACACGUGAAAAUUGAGAAGGAUGAAAUAUUCUCUAACAUUGCACACUCUUAGAAGAAAAAUCAUUUGGUUGACAAUUUUAUUUGAGACUAACAAAUUGACGGAAGGACAUGAUGUGAGGCCAGCUUGUAUAUGCUUUUAUUCAAAUCUAGCCACAUGAUGAAUCCUACAAACUCCUUUCCCAUUUUUUUAUUGCAAUGUUUUAAAUGAUGCCACGUACCUAAAUUCUUGAAAUUUUGAGUCAGUUAAAGACAUGUCUGGAUGGCAUGGAGGAGAGUUAGGGGGCUAUUCGGCUUGUACCCCUUCAAAUUCAGCCUGCUCCAUUAAUUUGAUAGCUAUCGUGAGGUUGCCUAUGAUGCUAAGAUAACCAAAUGUGAUGAGGAUUUCAAAAAGUAUUCGAGUGUACUUCAGUACCAAAUCUGUGAAAUGAUUAUUGAAUGCUACCUAAUUUUGUUUGAAAUUUUCAUUUGAAAUUAAAUAAAUAAAUAUGUGAGGCCUAAAUCUUUUUCCAUCAUAUUGUACUCAUGUUCAAAGUCUGCCACUUCCAUUCAUUUGACAGCUAUAAUGAGGUUGUCUAUGAUGCUAAAAAUGACCAAACGUGAUGAUGAUUUCAAGAAGUAUUCCAGUAUAUUUUAAUUGGCAAUGUUUUAAAGAUAGGUAUCAUUCAUCCUAAAAAUUCAUCCAUUCAUGUUCAUUGCAUGGUCGAAAUGUUAUUAAACAACUAACAUUAUAAAUAUAUAAUUUAUAUUUUAUUAAAAUUAAAAAUAAUUUUUAAAAACUAAUAUGUAUAUAUAUAUAAUUAAAAACCAAUUAUAUUUAUUUUUUAAUCUUUUAUAUAAAUGUACUAAUAAUUAAAAUUUUAUUAAAUAAAAUAUGUAAAAUUUGAAAAUUGAAUAAAAUUUGCAUUAUAUAUAUAUAAAAGUUUAAAAGAUACUAGAUUAUUUUAUUCAUAUUGAAUUUCUGAAAUAAUAUACAUAUUUUUUUCUUUAGUUUCACAAACAUUAACAUUUGGAUAAGUAGCUGAGUAGUUGUUCCUGAAAAUGCUCAAGCACAUAUUAGCAAGAAUGAAGAAUUUGUUUCUAUUCUUUCAUAUUUUACAGUAGACCAAUGGCUAUAUAUAUAUAUUACAAUGUAACUAAUCUAACCAUCUAUUGAACUACCUAACCAUCUUCUAACUAAUCAUAACAACAUCUGUUAGAGAGGAGAAGAAUCAGCUGCUGGUGCGGGUGCUUGUCUAUCAUCCCCCCGCAAGCUGACAGGUCUUGGGACAAUAGAGAAAUGAGUACGAGCGGCUGAGAACUAACAGCUUGGAACAUAUUUAGUAAAGACAUCUGCCAACUGGUCGGUAGAAGGAACAUAUUGAAUUAAAAGCUCUUUGCGAAUGACCUUAUCACGGACAAAGUGAAGAUCAAUCUCUAUGUGCUUGGAACGGGCAUGGAAGACAGAGUUAGCUGCAAGAGGAGCAGCACUGAUAUUGUCACACCAGAUCAAAGGAGUGUUCGGUUGAGGAAUGCACAACUCUUUGAUCAGAAACUGAACCCAGGAGACCUCAACAGCGAGAAAAGCAAGUGCCCGGUACUCCGAUUUUGCACUACUACGAGAGACGACACGUUGCUUGGUAGAGGACCAUGAGAUGAGAUUGGUGCAAAAAAAAAAGACAAAAGCCACUAGUGCUUCUUCUAUCAUCGAGACAUGAAGCCCAAUCCGCAUCGGUAUAGCCUUGAAGAGACCAAGAUGGUGAGGCAUGGAUAGAAAGACCAUGAGUAGCAGUACCUUUGAGAUAGCGAAGUAUGUGUUUAGCAGCUUGCAGAUGAGAAGUGAUAGGAUGAGCCAUGUAUUUACAAGCUUGAUUUACUGCAAAUGAGAUUUUUGGUCUUGUGAGAGUGAUGUACUGAAGAGCACCCACAAGACUGUGAUAGUGAGUAGCAUCAAGAGCAGAUAAAGGUUCUCCAUCUGCUGCUGAUAACAAUUUUCCCAAAGCACCAAGUGUGCUAGCAGAUUUGGCCCCAAGAAGAUCAGCACGCUCAAGUAGCUGAUGUAUGUAGCGUUGUUGAUUGAGAUGAAGAACAUGAGGAAGCCGGGUGACUUCAAUGCCAAGGAAGUAGCUAAUAUCUCCAAGGUCUUGAAGAGCAAAAUGGGAGCUAAGCUGAGAAAUGAUAUGAUGGACCUGUGGUGGAUUGUUGCCAGUAAUGAGAAUAUCAUCCACAUAGAUUGAGAUGAUGAUAAUAUCAGAUGCAGAGUGGAAAUAAAAUAAAGAUGCAUCAGCCCUUGAGCAUUGGAAUCCCAAUUGUAAGAGAAAGGAGCUGAGCUUGUGGAACCAGGCUCGAGGCGCUUGUUUAAGGCCAUAGAGAGCCUUCUGUAGACGACAAACAUGAGUGGGGCAAGAGCUAUCUUCAAAGCCUAGAGGUUGCAUCAUGAACACCUGUUCUUAAAGAUCUCCAUUUAAAAAAGCAUUGUGGACAUCUAGUUGUUUAAUAGGCCAGUUGGAAGAGACAACAAUGGAGAGAACAAGCCUGAUAGUGCAAGGCUUCACAACUGGACUAAAUGUCUCAAAAAAAUCAAUGCCAUAGGUUUGAUGAAAACCUUGGGCAACCAGCUGAGCUUUGUACCUGUCAAUGCUGCCAUCAGGUUUAUGUUUGAGUUUGAAGACCCAUUUACACCCAAUAAUUUUGGCAUUAGAUGGAGGUGGCACCAAAGACCAAGUUUGAUUCUUCAAUAGAGCUUGAUAUUCUUGUUCCAUAGCAAGCUUCCAAUUAGGGUCUUGAAAAACCUGUUUGACAGUACGUGGCUCAGCUAUGAGUGAGGUAAGAUAGGUCUUCUUCUUAUAGAUACCAAAUUUGGAUCUGGUAAUCAUAGGAUGACUAGGAAUUGGAGCUAUGGAAUCCUGGAGGGAAGCAGUAGAAAUCUCAGCUGCUUCAUCCACAAAUGGCACCUGAAUGAGCGGGGGUAAAGACAAAAAGCUGGCUAGAGGUGAUGUGGGGGCAAGUUCGGAUGGGAUAGCCGGAGAAGAGCUGGUUGUGGAGGGGAAAAGAACAGAAGAUGGAGGAAAAAGAAAUGCUGGAGUGACAGGAAAAUGAGAUGAUUGGUGGGAAGGAGAAGUCAAUGCUUGAAAUGGAAAUGUAGUCUCUACAAAGACUACAUGCCUAGAGAUAUAUACUCUGCCAGUUGUAAGAUUAAGGCAAAAAUAACCCUUGUGAAAUGUUGCAUAACCAAGAAAGAUACAGGGUAUGGACUAUGGCUGAAAUUUGUUGGAGUUGAGAUGUCUGAGGUGUGGAUAACAAAGACAACCAAAGACUUUGAAAUGGAAAUAAUCAGGUGGGUGUUUGUAAAGAAGAGAAAAUGGGGAGCUGUAAUUGAGCAAAGGAGAAGGCAUGCAAUUGAUAAGGGUAAUUGUUGUAGUGAAAGCAUAGGACCAAAAUUUGGAUGGCAGGGCAGUUGUGUAAAGAAGAGUGAGCCCGAUUUCUACAACAUGGCGCAUUUUGCGUUCAACCCGACCAUUUUGUUCAGGUGUAUAAGGGCAAGAAAAUCUAUGGAGUAUACCAUGAAGAGAUAGAAACCGGAGGGUAGUGAACUUUCCACCAUGGUCUGUUUGAAGGCAUUUAAUGGUGGUCUGAAAUUGGUUUUCAACAAGAGUUUUAAAUUGAACAAAAGUGGAGUAAACCUGGUCCUUGGUGAGGAGUAAAUAUAUCCAUACAAACCUAGAGUAAUCAUCCAUGAGCAACAAAAAAUACCAGGCACCUGCGGAGGAAGGAACAGGUGUUGGUCCCCACAAGUUUGCAUGGAUGAGUUCAAGAGGAGAGGAGGCCCGGGAAGUGGACAAAGAAAAAGGAAUUUUGUGACUUUUGGCAUAACAACAAGCAUUGCAAACAUCAAUUGUUUUAUUUGAGUUAUAUGAAAUAUUACAUGUAUGAAAAAUUUUCUGAAGUAUUAUAGCAGAAGGGUGGCCAACUCGUUGAUGCCACAACAUAGUAGUGGGCUGAGUUUUUGUGAGAAACACUUGAUGUUUAGAAUUGGCAGUAGGUGAGUUGAUAGAUGAGGUAGGAAAUUUGUAGAGUCCACGUUCAAGUUGGCCUUGGAGAAGAGUCACUUUGGUAUCCUUGUCCUUGACAAAAAAUGAAAAAGGAUGAAAUUCAAGAAUGGUAUUAUUAUCAGUACAGAAUUUUGACACACUGAUGAGAUUUGAAGUGAGUUGUGGAACAUGAAGCACAUUGUGUAAAACAAAGGGUUUAGCAGAAAUGUGGAGAAAGGAAUGACCAACUUGGGUUAUGGGUAGGGACUUACCAUUGCCAACCAUCACAGAGUCAGUACCAUUGUAUGAAGUACCAUUGUGGAUAUUAGCAACUGUGUGGGAGAGAUGGUGGGUGGCGCUUGAAUCCAAAAACCAGGAGUCCGUUGAUGCUGGGGAAGGUGCUGCCAUCAUGGCUUGAGCAGGAGGAGUGGGACCAGUUUGAGAGGUUGAUGAGGCUGGUGCAUGUGGCCCUUGAUAAUUCACAUCAAAUCUGUGAUAACAAGAGAGGACCAUGUGCCCAAACUUGCCACAUAACUGACACUGUGGUUGGUUAUUUGUCCGGGAUCGAUUAUUGUUGAAUCGGUUAGGGCGAUAUCCUUGAGGAUGUUGCUGUCGUGAAUUUGGAAGAGUGUCAGGUCGUGGGGUUGGCAUGAAUGACUGAGGUGGUUUCCCUUGAGAGGGUUUGAUGGACUGUGACCUUCGUGGUCUGUUAUGAGUUGCAAUAUUGGCAAUGAGGAGGUCUUCUUCAGCAGUUGUGGUUUGAAGAUGCAGCCUCUAUUCAUGAGUCAGAAGGAUGCUAUGUACCGCAUGAAGUUGAAGGUCAUCAUCUCUAGCUGUGAGAGAAGCCAUGAUGGGGUUGUAUUCAACCCCUAGUCCACUUAGUAAUUGAAGAAUUUGAUCCUUUUCUGGCACUGGUUCUCCAAUAGCUGCUAGACUAUCAGAGAUGUGUUUGAGUUUUUGGAUGUAUUCCAUCAUGGUAAGAGGGCCUUUUUUGGUUGUUUGAAAAGCAAGUCUCAGCUGCAUUGUUCUUGCUUUGGUGGAAGCAGAGAAGCUUCAUUGGAGGGUUGUCCAUGCUUCAUGGGAUGUUCGUAGCCCAACAAUUUGGCCCAUAACAUCUGGAGUGAGAGAGGAGUAGAUCCAACUCAGGAUCAUACGAUCAUAUCUCCUCCAAACCAGAAAAUCUGGGUUCACUUCUCCGGUGGAUAUUAUUUUUGGAGGACAUGGUCUCAGACCUUCAAUAUAGUCCUCAAAUCCAUUGGCAUAUAUCACAUUUUCCAUUUGUGUAUGCCAAAGGAUAUAGUUAUCUCUAUCUAGUUUGAUAGGAAGAGGAUGGUUCAGCAUGCUCAUGUUCAGGGUAGAGGUUACCUGAGAAGAGACAAUCUCCGGCGUGGUUUGUGUUGAUGAAGCCAUCGGAAACUAGGUACAGUAUGUUCUUGAAGCUUUCUUGAGGUGAGUAAGAAAAGCAAAAGGUAAUCUGCAGAUGAUGUAUAUCAGAAGAAAGUUGCAGUAGAAAGAGUUGUUGGAGAUUUCUUUAUUGUCUUGCUGGGGAGAGAAAUCAAAAAACGAAAAUUCAUGAGCCUAUGGCUCUGAUACCAUGAAAAUGCUCAAGCACAGAUUAGCAAGAAUGAAGAAUCUGUUUCUAUUCUUUCUUAUUUUACAGUAGACCAAUGGCUAUAUAUAAAUAUUACAGUGUAACUAAUCUAACCAUCUAAUCAUCUAUUGAACCACCUAACCAUCUUCUAACUAAUCAUAACAGCAUCUGUUAGAGAGGAGAAGAAUCAGUUGCUGGUGCGGGUGCUUGUCUAUCAGUUCCAAGUUACCUUAAACCUUGAAAGGAUCAAGUCCUUUUGAUUUUGUUUAAAUAAGCUACUAAGCUACUGCUCACUCCACAUUGGAAAUUCAAGGGGAUGAAAAAAGGUUUAUAAAUCUCAUUCAUCUCCAACAGGUCACAUGGCCUUUAGGCCGUGGGAGGCAAUGCGGUGAGUGGGUCGUGUGCUCUAAAUGGAGGCCUAUUUUUGCAACAAAAGAAAGACCGAAACCAAACCAAGCAUGAACCAAAUCGGAUCAAGAUCCAGUCGACGGUCUGACUAGUUCAGUAGGAAUUUUUCAUAAUAUGGUUUAAUGGCAUGUAGAUAUUCUUUAGUCAAAGUUUUAAUAAGCCCAUCAAAAGUUGUAAUAUUUUAUGUUAUAAGUUAAUAGAGAAUAUUUUUUACUUUAAAUUUUUGUUGGUAUUUUCCCAUAAUCUAUAGUUAUUAAGGCAUUGAUAUUUUCUCAAAUUAUAGAAUUAAGUUCUAAAACAACAUUUAUUUUGACAUAGAUGAACAUUUGAAAGAUUAUAAUUUAUCUUUAACUUAUUUUUCUUUAUAACCAAAAUCUUUUCUCUCGAUUUUUCAUAAUAUUUGAUUAUGAUUAAUUAUUCAUGCAUACAAUCUAGGUCUGAAUCUAUUAUCUUCAACACUUAUUUUUAUUUUUUUAUGUCAUGUUUGAAAAUUUACUUUAGAUAGUAAGUCAAUAAAUGUUUCUAAAGGUAAAUGAGUGUUUGGUAUUAUGAUUCUUAGAUCUUGACUAGUAAGGGAUUCUUUAUAAUUUGUUCAUUUUAUUACUUGAGCUAAUUUAAUUCUCUAUUUAUUAAUUUCUUAUAUUUCAUCAUGUAAAUUUUGAAUAGUUAUAAGUUUGUGAAUAGUUUUGAAUCUAUUAAAUAUUUCAUCUAUAAUAUUGAUUAGAUUUGGGUUCUUGAAGUCUACUUAUCUCUUUAAUUUGUAAGAAUUAAAUCUUUUAAAUAUAACAAAUAUUGAAUUUUUAUGUUGAAUCCUCUAUUUUAUGACAUCAAAAAAUAUUUAUUUAUUUACUUUUGAAUAAAUCAUAUUUAUUAUUUUAUAUGAACAAACAUACUCACUUUCACAUUCAUUUUCAUCAUUAGAGUCUUCUAGACUAAUUAUAUUGGUUUAAUGUGUCUAGUAUUUGUGAUAAAUUUCAUAAAAAUAUUCAAGUGUAAAUAUUAAACUACAUAGUAUACUGUCACAUAUGACACAUUUCAAAUAGUAAAGACUAAAACCAUAAUUAAAGAUAACUUAGGUUUUAUUUUUUUUGUCAAAAAUAUUAUAAUUUUAAUUAAUUGAAUUAUUAAUUUUUCAAAAAUUUAGAAAAAAUAAAAAAUAGUAUUUUAAAAUUUGGCUCUCUUGAAAAUCAUGAGAGGAUAAAAAUUGGUAAAAAAAUAAAUAAAUUUAGAAAAGGUUAUUGAGAUUAAUUAAGUACAUCCUUGCCAUGAUAUUUAAUAUUUUUUUUAUGUUUUAUAAAUAGGGUAAAUGGACAUCGUUCUAAAUACAGGAAGAUGAUAUUAUUAUAUAUAAAAAAAAUGUAAAAAUAGUGAGUAAUAUUAUUAAAAAUAUCUCAUGGAAUGGGGCAAGAUAAAGGGCCAAAAAAAAAAAAAUUAGAGAAGAAAGAAGAAAAAGAAGAGUGUUGUAAGCACAGGAAGUCAAAAGUACUGUAUAAGCGUGAUUCAUCCCUGUUUCCUACUUCGAUUAUAAAGUAUGGACAGAGAUACAGAAAAAAAAAAAGAGAAGAAGCAGCAUUCAGCUUUCACCAGUGCAGAGUGGUAUGGUGGUGUAGCAUAUGUUUGGUUGUUAUUCUUGCUCCAAACAAGUGUGAGCUGAUCCAUUUCUAUACUCAUUUUUGUUAUCUCAGUCGACUGAUUCGUUUAGUGGGCCUGGUGUUAGCCAAAAGCUAGCCACCAAUUUUCUUUGCUUUAUCCCAUUACAUUAGAAUAAAAAGAAAAUGGAGGUUUGAGAGGGCCAUUGGGACCAUUGGGACCAUUAUCAGUUGUCUUUUGUUUUCAAGUUGUAAGAAGUCCUGUCAAGGUUUAUGUCAUUUGCUAUGUUGUUUCUGUUCCAUUUUCAGUUCAAAGAGUGGUAGAGUAGAGAAGGAGGCAUGGCUCAGACAUUUGGGUGCAGCUCUGGAGAUAGUAGAUGGUCUCUCAAGGGAAUGACUGCUCUUGUAACUGGUGGAACUAAAGGAAUUGGGUUGGUGUUACCUGUUUUUAUGUCUUUGGGUUUGGACUAUACCUUCCUAUAUAUAAACGUAUGUAUCAAUUCUGCAGGCAUGCAAUUGUGGAGGAACUGGCUGGAUUAGGAGCAACCAUACACACGUGUUCUCGAAAAGAAACUGAGCUCAAUGAAUGCUUGAAGGAUUGGAAAGCUAAAGGUUUUGGAGUGAGUGGUUCAGUGUGUGAUGUAUCCUCUCGGGCACAAAGGGAGAAGCUAAUGGAGACUGUCUCUUCUGUGUUCAAAGGGAAGCUGAAUAUCCUUGUAAGUUCCUCUAGUCUCUAAGGUUCCUAUCCAUGAUAUUCCACAUACUUUGUCGAACUUCCUACAAUUUGAGUUCCCCUACUUGAUAUAUAUAUUUUGGUUCCGGAUUCAGGUCAACAACGCUGCUAUUGUUAUUCAGAAACCAACAGUAGAGGUCACGGCAGAAGAGUUCUCAACAAUCAUGGCCAUAAAUUUUGAAUCUGUGUAUCAUCUGUCCCAACUCGCACACCCCCUUUUAAAGGCAUCAGGAGCGGGAAGCAUUGUAUUCAUCUCCUCUGUUGCCGGCGUAGUGUCAGUCAAGUAUCUGUCUGCUUAUGCAGUAACCAAAGGUAUUUCAUUACAUGAUCCACAGUAUAUAUAUAUAUCGCAAGUUCUUGGGUUGUGGCCCUUGUGGCCUUCUCGGCGUGUCAUUAUCAUUAUCAUUUUGUGAUUUUUCAGGAGCAAUGAAUCAACUUACAAAGAAUUUGGCAUGCGAGUGGGCGGAAGACAAUAUUAGAAGUAAUGCAGUUGCUCCUUGGUGCAUCAAAACUCCGAUGGUGGAUCAGGUAAUUCAGUUGCUCUUCUUUUUUGUCUGGGAAAAUUCAAUAAUCAAUUCCUCUCUCUUUUCUGUCUUUUGCAUAAUCUGGGUUGCAGAUGCUCAGUAACAAAACCUUUCUGGAAGGGGUGAUAAAUCGAGCUCCACUUCGCCGUGUGGGAGAUCCGAAGGAGGUGUCAUCUUUGGUGGCAUUCCUCUGUCUACCAGCAUCAUCUUACAUUACUGGACAGACUAUUUGUGUUGAUGGUGGCGUGACUGUUAAUGGUUUUGAGCCAAACCUGUUCUAGGAACAUCAUUAAGACUCUAAAAAAUCUUAGCUUCUUCUACCGCUUUCCUGUUUGGAUCCUGUCUUUUUCCUGAAUAAUAUGUUUGUGGUGGUAAGUACUCUUCUGUUUUUUCGGUGUGGGGUUCAUUUGAAAACAUUGUUGCAUGAUGCUUAUAAUAAUCGUUGGAAAGUUGGAAGAAGUUACUUAUCAUUGGAUGAGAUUCUUGUGAUGGGUGUUUCCUAUAAUCAGAUUUAUCUUGUUAUAAGGUUGUUGUUGUUGUAGUAAUAGGAUUGAAAGAGAAAUGCAAAUAAUCGUAAAAGGAUGAUGAAAAUUCAUCAUUUUUACUUAUUCAAAUAU
This 37240-nucleotide long non-coding RNA is filed under the name Vitis vinifera (wine grape). RNAcentral's name for it is "long non-coding RNA (VVIN_LNC001744)". The record is from RNAcentral. Lineage: Eukaryota; Viridiplantae; Streptophyta; Magnoliopsida; Vitales; Vitaceae.